CAAGUCGAGCGAACGGACGAGAAGCUUGCUUCUCUGAUGUUAGCGGCGGACGGGUGAGUAACACGUGGAUAACCUACCUAUAAGACUGGGAUAACUUCGGGAAACCGGAGCUAAUACCGGAUAAUAUUUUGAACCGCAUGGUUCAAAAGUGAAAGACGGUCUUGCUGUCACUUAUAGAUGGAUCCGCGCUGCAUUAGCUAGUUGGUAAGGUAACGGCUUACCAAGGCAACGAUGCAUAGCCGACCUGAGAGGGUGAUCGGCCACACUGGAACUGAGACACGGUCCAGACUCCUACGGGAGGCAGCAGUAGGGAAUCUUCCGCAAUGGGCGAAAGCCUGACGGAGCAACGCCGCGUGAGUGAUGAAGGUCUUCGGAUCGUAAAACUCUGUUAUUAGGGAAGAACAUAUGUGUAAGUAACUGUGCACAUCUUGACGGUACCUAAUCAGAAAGCCACGGCUAACUACGUGCCAGCAGCCGCGGUAAUACGUAGGUGGCAAGCGUUAUCCGGAAUUAUUGGGCGUAAAGCGCGCGUAGGCGGUUUUUUAAGUCUGAUGUGAAAGCCCACGGCUCAACCGUGGAGGGUCAUUGGAAACUGGAAAACUUGAGUGCAGAAGAGGAAAGUGGAAUUCCAUGUGUAGCGGUGAAAUGCGCAGAGAUAUGGAGGAACACCAGUGGCGAAGGCGACUUUCUGGUCUGUAACUGACGCUGAUGUGCGAAAGCGUGGGGAUCAAACAGGAUUAGAUAC
RNAcentral lists this ribosomal RNA (745 nucleotides) under uncultured Staphylococcus sp. Its description in RNAcentral is "bacterial SSU rRNA". It matches the Rfam family "Bacterial small subunit ribosomal RNA", at positions 58 to 785 of the family's 1533-position model. Lineage: Bacteria; Bacillati; Bacillota; Bacilli; Caryophanales; Staphylococcaceae. The record is from RNAcentral.